GGACCCACCAAACGGAGGCCUGCCCAGGACCCAGCUUUCUAAACCAGGCAGGUUGCAAUUAGGGCAAGCACCUGUCCAGGACGCCUGCUUCCCACGCUCCGACGCAGCCUUAGCCCCGCCCCCCCACGCGAGAAAUCAGGAGCGGCUCGCCCUAUAAGGAAAUUCCCCGCCUCCCAGCCCAUCAUGCCUUGCUGCUGACUUCCGGUUCUCCAGCGGUAUAAAGCGGCGGCUCCGGGCCAAAUUUCAGGAGAAGCGUUGGUGCGAGCCUCUUGGCUCUUCUGACCUGGGUCGUUUUCCCUGGAAUAAAUGGUGUCAGACUCGUUACUAAAUAGUCUGACAACAAGAGGGGACGAGCCCAUGGCUGCCGAAGGUUCCAGGUCAGCCCCCAGAGCCCGGUGAAGCCACUCUACCUUCCGCUCGCUCUUCGCGUCAUUAUUUCCAAACUUCAAGGACAGAGAUCCUCUAGGAUUCUACCCAGUAUUGAGCUUGCAUUCCUGUUGGACUGCACGUGGAGCACUGCAGGGAGAAGAUUUUUUUUUUUUUAAGAUUUUAUUUAUUCAUGAGAAUACACACACACAGAGAGAGAGAGAGAGAGAGGGGCAGAGACACAGGCAGAGGGAGAAGCAGACUCCACACAGGGAACCUGAUGUGGGACUCGAUCCGGGGACUCCAGGAUCACACCCUGGGCCAAAGGCAGGUGCUAAACCGCUGAGCCACCCAGGCUGCCCUGUAAAUUUAUUUAGAGACCGAUUUAGUUGCAAAGACUUCAAUUCCAACCAGAAAGCAAGUGAGAAAUUACUCUUUGUUGAGUAUUCCCCAAUUUUGUAUUGUCUAUUUCAGCAUACUGCGAUACUGUAG
This 858-nucleotide long non-coding RNA is filed under the name Canis lupus familiaris (dog). RNAcentral's name for it is "lncRNA (ENSCAFG00000057171.1)". Lineage: Eukaryota; Metazoa; Chordata; Mammalia; Carnivora; Canidae. The record is from RNAcentral.